CCCAAUAAUCCACCGAAAUUUUCUAGGGUAAGCGUUUCUGUUUCUUCUGAUCUGAAACCCCGUCGUCCUAUUCUCAAACAAAGCAGAUCGAUGGCGCCUCCACCUGGUCCCUACUCCGGCAACCAGCACCCUCGCUCUUGUGGCUCGUGCAUCUGCUUUCUUUUUGGACUCGUUUAUGGUAGCUUCAAGCUCAAGUACCUCAAGGCUAAGGCAAGGUCUCAUAAGAAAGCUGAAGCAAAGGCUCACCACUGAAGCAUCGUAGUUGGUUUGAAUUGCAUGAAUUGAACUUGGUGUAGGAAUAAAGCAUAUAGAUGUUAUUGUACGAGUUUUUCAUUUCAGCUUAUAAAGCUUUUACGGAUAAUGACAUACUUAUCUCCCAAAUUUGUUUGUGUUAUAAACAUGGCCCUUAAGGUUAAUUUUUAGGUUGGCAAUGGCACUAUGAUGAUUUUGU
Long non-coding RNA from Hibiscus syriacus, 451 nucleotides. RefSeq lists it as uncharacterized. Lineage: Eukaryota; Viridiplantae; Streptophyta; Magnoliopsida; Malvales; Malvaceae. The transcript has 3 exons. The record is from RefSeq and is a predicted model, not a curated record.